CCUACGGGAGGCAGCAGUGAGGAAUAUUGGUCAAUGGACGAGAGUCUGAACCAGCCAAGUAGCGUGAAGGAUGACUGCCCUAUGGGUUGUAAACUUCUUUUAUAUGGGAAUAAAAUGUUCCACGUGUGGGAUUUUGUAUGUACCAUAUGAAUAAGGAUUGGCUAACUCCGUGCCAGCAGCCGCGGUAAUACGGAGGAUCCGAGCGUUAUCCGGAUUUAUUGGGUUUAAAGGGAGCGUAGGUGGAUUGUUAAGUCAGUUGUGAAAGUUUGCGGCUCAACUGUAAAAUUGCAGUUGAAACUGGCAGUCUUGAGUACAGUAGAGGUGGGCGGAAUUCGUGGUGUAGCGGUGAAAUGCUUAGAUAUCACGAAGAACUCCGAUUGCGAAGGCAGUUCACUGGACUGCAACUGACACUGAGGCUCGAAAGUGUGGGUAUCAAACAGGAUUAGAUACCCCUGUAUC
Molecule: ribosomal RNA, 459 nt
Filed under: uncultured bacterium
Lineage: Bacteria
Description: partial 16S ribosomal RNA
Rfam family: Bacterial small subunit ribosomal RNA
Source: RNAcentral